This 450-nucleotide ribosomal RNA is filed under the name uncultured bacterium. RNAcentral's name for it is "bacterial SSU rRNA". It matches the Rfam family "Bacterial small subunit ribosomal RNA", at positions 354 to 796 of the family's 1533-position model. The record is from RNAcentral.
GUGGGGAAUAUUGGACAAUGGGCGAAAGCCUGAUCCAGCCAUGCCGCGUGUGUGAAGAAGGUCUUCGGAUUGUAAAGCACUUUAAGUUGGGAGGAAGGGCAGUAAGUUAAUACCUUGCUGUUUUGACGUUACCAACAGAAUAAGCACCGGCUAACUUCGUGCCAGCAGCCGCGGUAAUACGAAGGGUGCAAGCGUUAAUCGGAAUUACUGGGCGUAAAGCGCGCGUAGGUGGUUUGGUAAGAUGGAUGUGAAAUCCCCGGGCUCAACCUGGGAACUGCAUCCAUAACUGCCUGACUAGAGUACGGUAGAGGGUGGUGGAAUUUCCUGUGUAGCGGUGAAAUGCGUAGAUAUAGGAAGGAACACCAGUGGCGAAGGCGACCACCUGGACUGAUACUGACACUGAGGUGCGAAAGCGUGGGGAGCAAACAGGAUUAGAAACCCUAGUAGUCC